This 141-nucleotide ribosomal RNA is filed under the name Eutreptiella gymnastica. RNAcentral describes it as "partial Eukaryotic large subunit ribosomal RNA". The record is from RNAcentral. Lineage: Eukaryota; Euglenozoa; Euglenophyceae; Eutreptiales; Eutreptiaceae.
CAGCCCUAUGUGGGCCGUUAUGAUAAACCAUGCUUGUGAUUCGCGAUGAUCCGAGAGCGUGAUUGCAGAGUUCAAGUGCUGGCUCAUAAAGAGAAUCCACAAAGACAUUGUUUCCUAGAGAUAGCAAGGCAAUGGCCAUGA